Molecule: ribosomal RNA, 696 nt
Filed under: uncultured eukaryote
Lineage: Eukaryota
Description: SSU rRNA
Rfam family: Eukaryotic small subunit ribosomal RNA
Source: RNAcentral
GCAUGUCUAAGUAUAAGCGACUAUACUGUGAAACUGCGAAUGGCUCAUUAAAUCAGUUAUGGUUUAUUUGAUGGUACCUACUACUUGGAUAACCGUAGUAAUUCUAGAGCUAAUACAUGCAGGAAGACCCGACUUCGGAAGGGUUGUAUUUAUUAGAUAAGAAACCAAUCCAGCUUGCUGGUUGCGUGCCGAGUCACAAUAACUGCUCGAAUCGCAUGACUUUACGUCGGCGAUGGUUCAUUCAAAUUUCUGCCCUAUCAGCUUUCGAUGGUAGGAUCGAGGCCUACCAUGGCGUUUACGGGUAACGGAGAAUUAGGGUUCGAUUCCGGAGAGGGAGCCUGAGAAAUGGCUACCACAUCCAAGGAAGGCAGCAGGCGCGUAAAUUGCCCGAAUCCUGACACAGGGAGGUAGUGACAAGAAAUAACGAUACAGGGCUACAUCUAGUCUUGUAAUUGGAAUGAGUACAAUUUACAUCUCUUAACGAUGAUCAAUUGGAGGGCAAGUCUGGUGCCAGCAGCCGCGGUAAUUCCAGCUCCAAUAGCGUAUAUUAAAGUUGUUGCAGUUAGAACGCUCGUAGUCGGAUUUCGGGGCAGUCCGACCGGUCUGCCGAUGGGUAUGCACUGGCCGGAGUGUCCUUUUUGCCGGAGACCGUGCCUACUCUUAACUGAGCGGGGGCGGGAGACGGCACUUUUACUU